RNAcentral lists this ribosomal RNA (460 nucleotides) under uncultured bacterium. RNAcentral describes it as "partial 16S ribosomal RNA". It matches the Rfam family "Bacterial small subunit ribosomal RNA", at positions 338 to 795 of the family's 1533-position model. The record is from RNAcentral.
CCUACGGUAGACAGCAGUGAGGAAUAUUGGUCAAUGGGCGAGAGCCUGAACCAGCCAAGUCGCGUGAAGGAUGACGGCCCUACGGGUUGUAAACUUCUUUUGUCAGGGAGCAAUUGAGGCCACGUGUGGGCUUAGCGAGAGUACCUGAAGAAAAAGCAUCGGCUAACUCCGUGCCAGCAGCCGCGGUAAGACGGAGGAUGCGAGCGUUAUCCGGAUUUAUUGGGGUUAAAGGGUGCGUAGGCGGAAUAUCAAGUCAGCGGUAAAAAUUCGGGGCUCAACCCCGUCGUGCCGUUGAAACUGAGGGUCUUGAUUGGGCGAGAAGAAUGCGGAAUGCGUGGUGUAGCGGUGAAAUGCAUAGAUAUCACGCAGAACCCCGAUUGCGAAGGCAGCAUACCGGCGCCCUACUGACGCUGAAGCACGAAAGCGUGGGUAUCGAACAGGAUUAGAUACCCCGGUAGUC